AUCUUUUGCUUCCUCCUUAAAGAGCUCAAUGGAAUUUUCUUUUGUUUCCAAAUUUAUUUUAUAUUUCUCAGCCCUUGGGUUAAUAAUUCUAAAAUUCUGAUUGAUACUGAAGAGUUGAAUAGGGAGCUCAAUGGAAUUUAACCCCUUUGAUGCUAUUAUUUGCUUUAUAUAUGUGUUUUUCUGGAUGGAACGCAUUGGGUCAUGGGAGAACAACAAGAAAGCAGCUCUUGAGGCUGAACUAAAACAAAUUGAGACUAUCGGUUCCAAUUUGUAGGAACGGUGUAUUUAGGUACUUUAGAACCUCAACUACCUUCAAGUAGAUUGUACAUUGUAAGGAAAUCAUAGUAAGCCUUCAGAUGUAUGAUCAUAGAGAAUUGGCAAGCAUCCAAUAGAAAUGGAGCACGUCAGAUAAUAAAGGUAUAUAUCUUAUGAAGGCUAGCAACUCAAGAGGAUACCUCUAACAUAUAAAGAAGAUAAGAACAAUCUAACGAUAUAGUUAACAGGUUCAACUGGAGUCGACAACUUCAUGAGUUUACUUUCAAAGAACAUUUUCAGAGACAAAC
This is a long non-coding RNA of Cucumis sativus (cucumber), 563 nucleotides long. RefSeq lists it as uncharacterized. NCBI's taxonomy places the organism in Eukaryota, Viridiplantae, Streptophyta, Magnoliopsida, Cucurbitales, Cucurbitaceae. The record is from RefSeq and is a predicted model, not a curated record. The transcript has 4 exons.